RNAcentral lists this ribosomal RNA (118 nucleotides) under uncultured bacterium. Its description in RNAcentral is "partial 16S ribosomal RNA". The record is from RNAcentral.
CCCGGGUUCCGUUGUUACACACCCGCCCGUCCACACCAUGGGAGGCGGGUUUCACCAGAAGUAGCUAGCCUAACCGCAAGGGGGGCGGUUACCACGGUGAGAUUCGUGACUGGGGGUG